UAGGGAAUCUUCGGCAAUGGACGAAAGUCUGACCGAGCAACGCCGCGUGAGUGAAGAAGGUUUUCGGAUCGUAAAACUCUGUUGUUAGAGAAGAACAAGGACGUUAGUAACUGAACGUCCCCUGACGGUAUCUAACCAGAAAGCCACGGCUAACUACGUGCCAGCAGCCGCGGUAAUACGUAGGUGGCAAGCGUUGUCCGGAUUUAUUGGGCGUAAAGCGAGCGCAGGCGGUUUCUUAAGUCUGAUGUGAAAGCCCCCGGCUCAACCGGGGAGGGUCAUUGGAGACUGGGAGACUUGAGUGCAGAAGAGGAGAGUGGAAUUCCAUGUGUAGCGGUGAAAUGCGUAGAUAUAUGGAGGAACACCAGUGGCGAAGGCGGCUCUCUGGGCUGUAACUGACGCUGAGGCUCGAAAGCGUGGGGAGCAAACAGG
RNAcentral lists this ribosomal RNA (429 nucleotides) under Gemmatimonadota bacterium. RNAcentral describes it as "Gemmatimonadetes bacterium partial 16S ribosomal RNA". It matches the Rfam family "Bacterial small subunit ribosomal RNA", at positions 355 to 776 of the family's 1533-position model. The record is from RNAcentral. Lineage: Bacteria; Pseudomonadati; Gemmatimonadota.